AUGGUGAACACUCCUAAAACCCACUGGACUUUCUGUAAGAAGUGUGGGAAGCACCAGCCCCACAGAGUGACACAGGACACAUUUCCCUGUAUGCCUAGGGAAAGCCAUGUUAUGACAGGAAGCAGAGGGGCUAUGGUGGGGAGACUAAGCCAAUUUUCCAGAAAAAGGCUAAAACUACAAAGAAGAUUGUGCUAAGUUUUGAGUGCAUGAAGCCCAACUGCAGAUCUAAGAGAAUGCUGGCUAUUAAGAGAUACAAGCAUUUUGAACUGGGAGGAGGUAAGAAGAGCAAGGGCCAAGUGAUCCAGUUC
RNAcentral lists this long non-coding RNA (308 nucleotides) under Homo sapiens (human). RNAcentral describes it as "non-protein coding lnc-NPC1L1-1:1". The record is from RNAcentral. Lineage: Eukaryota; Metazoa; Chordata; Mammalia; Primates; Hominidae.